Molecule: ribosomal RNA, 1255 nt
Filed under: metagenome
Description: bacterial SSU rRNA
Rfam family: Bacterial small subunit ribosomal RNA
Source: RNAcentral
UGGUGGGGUAACGGCCUACCAAGGUGAUGAUACGUAGCCGAACUGAGAGGUUGAUCGGCCACAUUGGGACUGAGACACGGCCCAAACUCCUACGGGAGGCAGCAGUAGGGAAUCUUCCACAAUGGACGAAAGUCUGAUGGAGCAACGCCGCGUGAAUGAAGAAGGCCUUCGGGUCGUAAAAUUCUGUUGUCAGAGAAGAACGUGCGUGAGAGUAACUGUUCACGUAUUGACGGUAUCUGACCAGAAAGCCACGGCUAACUACGUGCCAGCAGCCGCGGUAAUACGUAGGUGGCGAGCGUUGUCCGGAUUUAUUGGGCGUAAAGGGAACGCAGGCGGUCUUUUAAGUCUGAUGUGAAAGCCUUCGGCUUAACCGAAGUAGUGCAUUGGAAACUGGAAGACUUGAGUGCAGAAGAGGAGAGUGGAACUCCAUGUGUAGCGGUGAAAUGCGUAGAUAUAUGGAAGAACACCAGUGGCGAAAGCGGCUCUCUGGUCUGUAACUGACGCUGAGGUUCGAAAGCGUGGGUAGCAAACAGGAUUAGAUACCCUGGUAGUCCACGCCGUAAACGAUGAGUGCUAAGUGUUGGAGGGUUUCCGCCCUUCAGUGCUGCAGCUAACGCAUUAAGCACUCCGCCUGGGGAGUACGGUCGCAAGACUGAAACUCAAAGGAAUUGACGGGGGCCCGCACAAGCGGUGGAGCAUGUGGUUUAGUUCGAAGCAACGCGAAGAACCUUACCAGGUCUUGACAUCUUCUGACAAUUCCAGAGAUGGAACGUUCCCUUCGGGGACAGAAUGACAGGUGGUGCAUGGUUGUCGUCAGCUCGUGUCGUGAGAUGUUGGGUUAAGUCCCGCAACGAGCGCAACCCUUAUUGUCAGUUGCCAUCAUUAAGUUGGGCACUCUGGCGAGACUGCCGGUGACAAACCGGAGGAAGGUGGGGAUGACGUCAAAUCAUCAUGCCCCUUAUGACCUGGGCUACACACGUGCUACAAUGGACGGUACAACGAGUCGCUAACUCGCGAGGGCAAGCUAAUCUCUUAAAGCCGUUCUCAGUUCGGAUUGCAGGCUGCAACUCGCCUGCAUGAAGUCGGAAUCGCUAGUAAUCGCGAAUCAGCAUGUCGCGGUGAAUACGUUCCCGGGCCUUGUACACACCGCCCGUCACGCCAUGAGAGUUUGUAACACCCAAAGUCGGUGGGGUAACCUUUUGGAGCCAGCCGCCUAAGGUGGGACAGAUGAUUGGGGUGAAGUCGUAACAAGGUA